AGAGGACUUCCAUUGAUCAAUAGCCACUCAGAUGUUCUGUGUUUGCCAUGAGUAUCGGACUUCAGUCUUCUGGAAAGAUGGCUGUGGUGCCUAAACACAUCUGUGCCUGGCCUCACCCGCGGGACUUCGGACAUUUCACUUAAUGCUGAAAAUUCACUCUACUGCCACUACUCAGGACUUCUGAUGGGCAUGAAAAUCCAAGCCUGCUUUAUGAUAUUAACCUCUGAAUUUCAUAAACCGCUUAAAACUUUAGAAUGUCCAGAAAACACUGGUAGAAUACGGACACAUGAGACAAGGCCAGAAAGGAAGUCAAUAAAAUGUGAUUACUAAGCAAAUUACCACCAGAGAAGCAGAAGGAAAUCCCUCUUCAAUAUUUUGAGAGACAGUAAAGAACAUUCCCUGGAGUUAGGACAAAUGAAGAGCAAGAAGUUUCAUCUUGCUCUGUCAUCCAGGCUGGAGUGCAGGGGCACCAUCUCGGCUCACUGAAACCUCCACUUCCCGGGUUCAAGCGAUUCUCCUGCCUCAGCCUCCUGAGUAACUGGGGUUACAG
Homo sapiens (human) is the source of this 550-nucleotide long non-coding RNA. Ensembl annotates it as long intergenic non-protein coding RNA 1492. The record is from Ensembl. Lineage: Eukaryota; Metazoa; Chordata; Mammalia; Primates; Hominidae.